Molecule: ribosomal RNA, 429 nt
Filed under: Bacteroidota bacterium
Lineage: Bacteria; Pseudomonadati; Bacteroidota
Description: Bacteroidetes bacterium partial 16S ribosomal RNA
Rfam family: Bacterial small subunit ribosomal RNA
Source: RNAcentral
UAGGGAAUCUUCGGCAAUGGGGGGAACCCUGACCGAGCAACGCCGCGUGAGUGAAGAAGGUUUUCGGAUCGUAAAGCUCUGUUGUUAAGGAAGAACGAGUGUGAGAAUGGAAAGUUCAUACUGUGACGGUACUUAACCAGAAAGGGACGGCUAACUACGUGCCAGCAGCCGCGGUAAUACGUAGGUCCCGAGCGUUGUCCGGAUUUAUUGGGCGUAAAGCGAGCGCAGGCGGUUAGAUAAGUCUGAAGUUAAAGGCAGUGGCUCAACCAUUGUAGGCUUUGGAAACUGUUUAACUUGAGUGCAGAAGGGGAGAGUGGAAUUCCAUUUGUAGCGGUGAAAUGCGUAGAUAUAUGGAGGAACACCGGUGGCGAAAGCGGCUCUCUGGUCUGUAACUGACGCUGAGGCUCGAAAGCGUGGGGAGCGAACAGG